Bos taurus (domestic cattle) is the source of this 72-nucleotide non-coding RNA. NCBI's taxonomy places the organism in Eukaryota, Metazoa, Chordata, Mammalia, Artiodactyla, Bovidae. The record is from Rfam.
UCCCUGGCAGUCCAGUAGUUAGGACUCUGUGCUUUCACUGCAAAGUCCCAGGUUCAAUCCCUGGUUGGGGAA